Molecule: unclassified non-coding RNA, 370 nt
Filed under: Bombus terrestris (buff-tailed bumblebee)
Lineage: Eukaryota; Metazoa; Arthropoda; Insecta; Hymenoptera; Apidae
Description: misc RNA ENSBTSG00005021247.1
Source: RNAcentral
AAAACAUUGACACCUUGGCGGCGCUCGGGAAACCACCUGGGCGAGGACAUAGAAGGGAAGGCGGGCAGGGAUCGUCAAACAGACGGUCAGCACGAGUGAAGUGGAAAUCCUUAUGAGAAGUGUCAGAGGGACGUUCGAUUUUCGCAGUAUUCCGUUUACGCGGAAAUAGCGCGCGCGUUUCUAGACGAGCUCGUCGAGAAACAAACUAAAUCAGUGCUCGAUACAAGAAACGUUCCGCGGCGAUAUUCCUGCAACGUGAAGGAAGAGAAGACGACGAGCGCGGCGCGCAACGCCAUGACGUGUAUGAAUCAGUCGCAAGCAAGUGUAACGACCGAGUGACGUCAAGAAGGUUGCACAACGAAGCGCGCCG